ACAGCUCAGUCGGUAGAGCAUGAGACACUUAAAUCUCAGGGUUGUGAGUUCAAGCCCCACAUGGGGUG
This 68-nucleotide transfer RNA is filed under the name Podarcis lilfordi (Lilford's wall lizard). RNAcentral describes it as "tRNA.Lys". The stretch from base 3 to 60 matches the Rfam family "tRNA", at positions 9 to 63 of the family's 71-position model. From Rfam's summary of the family: Transfer RNA (tRNA) molecules are approximately 80 nucleotides in length. Their secondary structure includes four short double-helical elements and three loops (D, anti-codon, and T loops). Further hydrogen bonds mediate the characteristic L-shaped molecular structure. tRNAs have two regions of fundamental functional importance: the anti-codon, which is responsible for specific mRNA codon recognition, and the 3' end, to which the tRNAs corresponding amino acid is attached (by aminoacyl-tRNA synthetases). tRNAs cope with the degeneracy of the genetic code in two manners: having more than one tRNA (with a specific anti-codon) for a particular amino acid; and 'wobble' base-pairing, i.e. permitting non-standard base-pairing at the 3rd anti-codon position. Lineage: Eukaryota; Metazoa; Chordata; Lepidosauria; Squamata; Lacertidae. The record is from RNAcentral.